GACGAACGCUGGCGGCGUGCUUAACACAUGCAAGUCGAACGGAAGGGCCCUGCUUUUGCGGGGUGCUCGAUUGGCGAACGGGUGAGUAACACGUGAGUAACCUCCCCUUGACUUUGGGAUAACUUUAGGAAACUGCGGCUAAUACCGGGUAUGAGCUCCUGCUGCAUGGUGGUGGUUGGAAAGUUUCGGCGGUUGGGGAUGGAUUCGCGGGUUAUCAGCUUGUUGGGGGGGUAGUGGUGUACCAAGCGUUUGACGGGUAGGCGGCCUGGGAGGGUGACCGGCCACAUUGGGCCUGCGAGACGGACCAGACUCCUACGGGAGGCAGCAGUGGGGAAUAUUGCACAAUGGGCGGAAGCCAGAGGCAGCAACGCCGCGUGCGGGAUGACGGCCUUCGGGUUGUAAACCGCUGUCGCCGGUGACGAAGCGUGAGUGACGGUAAUGGGUAAAGAAGCACCGGCUAACUACGUG
Molecule: ribosomal RNA, 468 nt
Filed under: uncultured bacterium
Lineage: Bacteria
Description: partial 16S ribosomal RNA
Rfam family: Bacterial small subunit ribosomal RNA
Source: RNAcentral